ACAUAUGAAGUAAAAAUUACAUUUAGUUUCGACCUAAAAAUAGAUUAGUCAAUCCUUAUGUG
Molecule: transfer RNA, 62 nt
Filed under: Agenioideus sp. SJW-2017
Lineage: Eukaryota; Metazoa; Arthropoda; Insecta; Hymenoptera; Pompilidae
Description: tRNA-Arg
Source: RNAcentral